This 249-nucleotide ribosomal RNA is filed under the name uncultured prokaryote. Its description in RNAcentral is "partial 16S ribosomal RNA". It matches the Rfam family "Bacterial small subunit ribosomal RNA", at positions 524 to 772 of the family's 1533-position model. The record is from RNAcentral.
UACGGAGGAUGCGAGCGUUAUCCGGAUUUAUUGGGUUUAAAGGGUGCGUAGGCGGCCGAGUAAGUCAGCGGUGAAAUUUUGCAGCUUAACUGUAACAGUGCCGUUGAUACUGCAUGGCUAGGAUUUGGUUGCUGUGGGUGGAAUGUGUGGUGUAGCGGUGAAAUGCCUAGAUAUCACACAGAAUAUCGAUUGCGAAGGCAGCUCACAAAGCCAAGAUUGACGCUGAGGCACGAAAGUGUGGGGAUCAAA